This is a small nuclear RNA of Cimex lectularius (bed bug), 122 nucleotides long. RefSeq annotates it as U5 spliceosomal RNA. Lineage: Eukaryota; Metazoa; Arthropoda; Insecta; Hemiptera; Cimicidae. The record is from RefSeq and is a predicted model, not a curated record. The transcript has a single exon.
AUACUCUGGUCUCCCUUCCUAACGAAUAAAUCAUUCGCCUGUUACUAAAGAUUUCCGUGGAGGGGGACUCACUGAUGAGUCUCUUUAUACCAGUCAAUGUUGUAAAUAAAUUAAGGUUUUAA